AAGUAGGUUGCUGGGCAGGUUGCUCGACCAAAAAAAGCUCGGCUAGUGAUUUUUUAGGCUCGAUCUCGAAAUGUUCACGGCCAUUAGCAGCCGUAGGAAAAUUUGCAGCACCCAAAUCGACCGAAAGUGAAUUGGUUCCCGCAAAGAGGUCACAGAAGGCAACAUCGAAGCGCUGAAACGACGCCAAAUAGCAAGAGCCUGCAAAGAUCCGGAAGGCGGCUAGUAUUCGACAUCGAAGAGCACUGAGACGACGUUAGAGUGGAAGGACUUGUGAAGAUUCUCAGGACGACGGCAUUCGACAUUGCAGCCCACAGUUAAUAGCAGCCGUCGGACGGUUUCGCCGAUAUCGAAGCGACUUCAUGCGACAGCCGAUCGAAGAAGGGCACCGACAACCUGUAUCAGAAGAGAGAGAGAGAGCAUUGUCCUCGAGCAACCACAAAGUGCUACUAGCGUACUCAAGCGACGACCGGAUAGAAGCAACCUGUGAGAUUCCGUCCCAGGCAGAGCUUCUUGCAUUCCGCCCGCAGCAAGAACAAAGACCCCUUCCGGAGGGGUCUUUUCUCUUGGCCUAUUUUUGCAGCAUCCUACGUUCCACUGAUCAGGCCGGAUCACCGAGUCGAAACGACGGAGAUAAAUCUGCGGAGAUCGUCUGGGACCUAGGCGAAGGCCGGUGGUAUAAAUUCGACCCACGCAUUACUC
Molecule: long non-coding RNA, 699 nt
Organism: Topomyia yanbarensis
Lineage: Eukaryota; Metazoa; Arthropoda; Insecta; Diptera; Culicidae
Exons: 5
Source: RefSeq, a predicted model, not a curated record